CGACCGGCGGACGGGUGCGUAACGCGUAUGUAACCUACCUUUGACAGGGGGAUAACAUCGAGAAAUUGGUACUAAUACCCCAUAACAUCACCGGAGGCAUCUUCGGUGGUUGAAAACUCAGGUGGUCAGAGAUGGACAUGCGUUGUAUUAGCUAGUUGGUGAGGUAACGGCUCACCAAGGCGACGAUACAUAGGGGGACUGAGAGGUCAACCCCCCACACUGGUACUGAGACACGGACCAGACUCCUACGGAAGGCAGCAG
RNAcentral lists this ribosomal RNA (261 nucleotides) under uncultured bacterium. RNAcentral describes it as "partial 16S ribosomal RNA". It matches the Rfam family "Bacterial small subunit ribosomal RNA", at positions 92 to 354 of the family's 1533-position model. The record is from RNAcentral.